UUAUAACAAACAAAAAGGUAGUAAAACACUAAACCAAUAUAAAAUGGCGGUCUAACAAACAUAAAGAAACUUGCUACAUAAUCGUAAACACCCGAUAAAUUUAACUUAAUAAACCAAAGCUCAUAUACCGCCGUUUCACAGAAACAACACACAAAACAAUUCAAAGACUUAAACUACAAUGAAAAAUCAGGUCAAGGUGUGGCUAAUAAUUAAGAAAUAGUUAGUUACACUAAAAAUAACUUAAGGAAAAUAUAAUAAAAAAUAUACAGAAAAAGAAUUUAUCUAUACAAGAUAAUUAAAAAUUAUCAUAGAAAUAUAAACAAAGACGC
Molecule: ribosomal RNA, 329 nt
Filed under: Pholcus singalang
Lineage: Eukaryota; Metazoa; Arthropoda; Arachnida; Araneae; Pholcidae
Description: partial 12S ribosomal RNA
Source: RNAcentral